UGGCAGAAGUUCCUCUUUGCUGGGUCUCUGCAGAAAGAGCUUCAAGUCUGCUGUGUUUAAGUUGUUUUACAGAGAGCAAGGGGCAACCCAACAGAGGGGAGGAACAGAAAAUGCAGAGAGAAAGGAGUGUGUCUGCCCCCACUGACUGGAGGAGCUGAUGCUCUUUGGCUGCACUGGAUGAAAGGGAAGCCCAACACCAGCACUCCCAGCAGCACUGCCAGCCCUGUGCCUUCCUGUCACCCCAGCCCUGGUGAGCCUUCAUCUUCUCCUUUUCAUGCUGGGCUGUCCACUCCUGAAGAUAUUGAUCAGCACUGAGGAGAUCCCCAAAUGCUUUUGGCUUUCCCAUUGCUGCCUGCACAAGCAUCGUGGUACCUCCAGCCCUGCUAACACCUGUGCCACGCUCAGCACUGCAGGACCCCAUCAGAAAGGCACAUCUGGUUAUAACCAUGUCAAAAGUCCAGUGUGACAUCCCAGCCUUGAUGGCAAAACUCCUGCUGGCAUCCUGGGGACCAGGAGCACUCUCCACAAGGCUCAGGGACCUCUCUGGAAGAAGCUACCUGCCUUUGGACACAGUGACCUCUCCACACACAAGGCUCAGGGACCUCUCUGGAAGAAGCUACCUGCCUUUGGACACAGUGACCUCUCCACACACAAGGCUCAGGGACCUCUCUGGAAGAAGCUACCUGCCUUUGGACACAGUGACCUCUCCACACACAAGGCUCAGGGACCUCUCUGGAAGAAGCUACCUGCCUUUGGAUGCAGUGACCUCUCCACACACGAGGCUCAGGGACCUCUCUGGAAGAAGCUACCUGCCUUUGGACGCAGUGACCUGUCCACAAGGCUCAGGGACCUCUUUGUAAGAGGCUACCUACUUUUGGACACAGUUUCCAAGGAAAGGCAAACUGGGAGAAGUGGUAUGGUCAUGGAGAAGUGUGGGAGUCCCAUGGGUACAGCCAGCUGAGAAAGGUUGUUGCAAAUGAGCCUGAGAGGCUUCUGGUGGACCCUGAGGAGAAGAAGGGAGAGACAUGUGGGGUGAUUGGAAGCUGAAUGUCUGCAUUGGAAGGGUUGGUGGAGAAUUGCAGCUUCAGGACCCGCAGAAUAGCAGGGGUUGGAAGGAACCUCUAGGGAUCAUUUAGUCCUGCCUCCACCCUGCAUGGAGGAGGCAAACGCUUCCUACCACGACUUUCCACCCAGAUAAUGCCAUUCAGAAGGCAUCAUCCAUGCCAUUGACAUGUCUUCUUGCUCUGUGUCUCUGGAUUUAGCACAUGAAGCUCUAAAUAUUUCAGGACCACACUGCUACACACAGCAGCUCUGUCCUUCUUUGCAGCCAAGGCAGCAUUGUGCAACCAGUUGGAGAGAGAUGGUGCUUGGGAUGCUGGAAGGGAGCAUUACCUUCAGAAGGGAGCCUGUUCAUGUAGCUUGGUGUCCUGGUGGAGAAAGGACAGGGGAAGAAGAUGAAAGAGAUUUAAAAGCAUCAGCAGUUGCUGCCGUCCUGGGAGCUUUCCUGCUGCAGCAGCAGAAGCCAAGGGGAAAUCUUUCUUGUUCCACACUGAUGGAAGUGGGAUCAGGCUAUUUAUCUUUGAUGAAUUGCCAAGAAAUGGUUGAUUGUGUUUAGAAGCAGCAGGAAGGUAUAAUAAAUGGUGCUUCCUCCUCUGAGACAGGGUGAGAAGCAGAGAGUGAGCAGAGCAGACCUGCUAACUGCCUGGGCGCAUCCCUUCUCGCGUGGUGACCGAUGUGGUUCCGGCUUCCACCGU
Pogoniulus pusillus (Red-fronted tinkerbird) is the source of this 1754-nucleotide long non-coding RNA. RefSeq lists it as uncharacterized. The record is from RefSeq and is a predicted model, not a curated record. Lineage: Eukaryota; Metazoa; Chordata; Aves; Piciformes; Lybiidae. The transcript is spliced from 5 exons.